UUCCUUUGUAAGCUGGAUUUCUUUUCAUUGGCCUCUUCCAUUCACCACAACCAGGUGCUGUCUCACACUUUGGGUUAUCAAUCUUUGGUGCCUCCCAUUCACCAUCCUCCUCAUCAUCCCAAUCUUCAGGUUUUGCAGCAUCAGGAUCAUCAAUUUCCUCAGGCUCAUCAUCUAACCAUCCUUCAGGUUUCUCAGCAUCCUCAUCUACAAUUUCCAUAGGUGCAUCCUCGUCCCAAUCAUCUGGCUUCACUGCAUUAGGAUCAGGAAUUUUGGCUCGCUCAUCCCAGUCUUCAGGCUUCUUAUCAUCCGGAUCAGGAAUUGUCUUGGCAGGAACUAAAGGAGGCUCGAAAUCAUCAGAUGAGAGAAAAUUUGCCUUCUUCUUCUCUUCUCCAUCAACCAAAAUUCGCAGCUCAUUGUC
This 418-nucleotide long non-coding RNA is filed under the name Ricinus communis (castor bean). RNAcentral describes it as "long non-coding RNA (RCOM_LNC000128)". The record is from RNAcentral. Lineage: Eukaryota; Viridiplantae; Streptophyta; Magnoliopsida; Malpighiales; Euphorbiaceae.